RNAcentral lists this ribosomal RNA (482 nucleotides) under uncultured bacterium. RNAcentral's name for it is "partial 16S ribosomal RNA". It matches the Rfam family "Bacterial small subunit ribosomal RNA", at positions 30 to 507 of the family's 1533-position model. The record is from RNAcentral.
AUUGAACGCUGGCGGCAUGCUUUACACAUGCAAGUCGAACGGUAACAGGCCGCAAGGUGCUGACGAGUGGCGAACGGGUGAGUAAUGCAUCGGAACGUGCCCAGUCGUGGGGGAUAACUACUCGAAAGAGUAGCUAAUACCGCAUACGAUCUAUGGAUGAAAGCGGGGGACCGUAAGGACUCGCGCGAUUGGAGCGGCCGCUGUCAGAUUAGGUAGUUGGUGGGGUAAAGGCUCACCAAGCCAACGAUCUGUAGCUGGUCUGAGAGGACGACCAGCCACACUGGGACUGAGACACGGCCCAGACUCCUACGGGAGGCAGCAGUGGGGAAUUUUGGACAAUGGGCGCAAGCCUGAUCCAGCAAUGCCGCGUGCAGGAAGAAGGCCUUCGGGUUGUAAACUGCUUUUGUACGGAACGAAACGGCUCUGGUUAAUACCCGGGGCUAAUGACGGUACCGUAAGAAUAAGCACCGGCUAACUACGUG